Molecule: long non-coding RNA, 231 nt
Filed under: Malus domestica (apple)
Lineage: Eukaryota; Viridiplantae; Streptophyta; Magnoliopsida; Rosales; Rosaceae
Description: long non-coding RNA (MDOM_LNC012052)
Source: RNAcentral
AGAGUUCCUUAUUAUCAUUAUUAGGAUAAAUUUUACUUAACAUGUUGUUGUCCAAAAUUAAAAUAAACUAGUAUAGUAUUUGUAUAUGCAAGAACUAAGAAAACAUACAUACAAGUAUAAAAAAUGUGAAAGAAUAUAUAAACACUCGUGAUUUAUCAUUAUUCCUCCACUAACAGAUAAUGAUUACACUUACAUUAUCGUUUAGAUUUUUAAAAUCCUCCAAACCCUCAU